RNAcentral lists this ribosomal RNA (444 nucleotides) under uncultured bacterium. RNAcentral describes it as "bacterial SSU rRNA". It matches the Rfam family "Bacterial small subunit ribosomal RNA", at positions 354 to 795 of the family's 1533-position model. The record is from RNAcentral.
GUGAGGAAUAUUGGACAAUGGGCGGUAGCCUGAUCCAGCCAUGCCGCGUGCAGGAAGAAUGUCCUAUGGACUGUAAACUGCUUUUGUACGGGAAGAACCGGGGGCACGCGUGCCCCCCUGACGGUACCGUAAGAAUAAGGAUCGGCUAACUCCGUGCCAGCAGCCGCGGUAAUACGGAGGAUCCGAGCGUUAUCCGGAAUCAUUGGGUUUAAAGGGUCCGUAGGCGGGCCGUUAAGUCAGGGGUGAAAGUCUGCGGCUCAACCGUAGGACUGCCCUUGAUACUGGCGGCCUUGAGUUAUGGUGAAGUAGCCAGAAUAUGUGGUGUAGCGGUGAAAUGCAUAGAUAUCACAUGGAAUACCGAUUGCGAAGGCAGGCUGCUAACCAUAUACUGACGCUGAUGGACGAAAGCGUGGGUAGCGAACAGGAUUAGAUACCCUGGUAGUC